AAGAGAAUGUCAACAGCCCUGAAGAAGUGAGAUAGUCUGCCGGUCCCCUCCCGGCUGCCGUGGGCUCGGGCGGAGGAGCGCCGGGCGGAGGGGGCACGCGAGUGCCCCGCUCCCGCGAACCCGGCGCUUUAGCGUGGAGGAGGCGGAGAGCCGAAGUAGGUUAUUUAGAAGAUUCUCAUUGCCUCUGACAAGCAAAUUGGAUCUAGACACUUCUGUUUGAGAAUAUGAAACAAAAGGAAGAAUGUGUGUGGAUUUAAAAUUACUGUAUUUAUCAAGUUGUUGUGGUGUGAGAAGUACUGGGGAAAUAGUUUGUUCUGUUGCUCAUUGUAGA
RNAcentral lists this long non-coding RNA (331 nucleotides) under Dromaius novaehollandiae (emu). Its description in RNAcentral is "lncRNA (ENSDNVG00000010366.1)". Lineage: Eukaryota; Metazoa; Chordata; Aves; Casuariiformes; Dromaiidae. The record is from RNAcentral.